UUUCAUUUCUCCUUUAGCAACACAAUGACUGUCAAAGAGCUCAUAAGAGAUUGGAACUGCUUUUGCAAUAAGUAAAGUCAAUGAAGAAAGUAAGAGGAUUGCAAAGGUUUCCCCCGCUGAUUCUGCCAACAGAAAUGUUUUUAUUGUGCUGCUUUGGACUGUCAUUCAUCAAGCAACCAGAGAGAAAAGAAGGCUCUUUACUGUCAGCUAAGCCUGAAAAAUACUUGGAAAGUACUUUGCUUCCCUGGGCUUG
Molecule: long non-coding RNA, 253 nt
Filed under: Homo sapiens (human)
Lineage: Eukaryota; Metazoa; Chordata; Mammalia; Primates; Hominidae
Description: HSALNT0332912
Source: RNAcentral